UGGCUCUCUGUGAAUCUUGCUUCCU
Molecule: non-coding RNA, 25 nt
Filed under: Rattus norvegicus (Norway rat)
Lineage: Eukaryota; Metazoa; Chordata; Mammalia; Rodentia; Muridae
Source: RNAcentral